Salvelinus fontinalis (brook trout) is the source of this 11148-nucleotide long non-coding RNA. RefSeq lists it as uncharacterized. The record is from RefSeq and is a predicted model, not a curated record. NCBI's taxonomy places the organism in Eukaryota, Metazoa, Chordata, Actinopteri, Salmoniformes, Salmonidae. The transcript has 3 exons.
CUCGCAAAGAAGGUCACCAAUUGCUAUAUGUGUUAAAAAAAAAAAAAAAAAAAAAAAAAGCAGACACUGAAUAUCCCUUUGAGCAAGGUGAAGUUAUUAAUUAGGCUUCGGAUGGUGUAUCAAUACACCCAGUCACUACAAAAAUACAGGCGUCCUUCCUAACUAAGUUGCUGGAGAGGAAGGAACCCUCUCAGGGAUUUCACGAUGAGGCCAAUGGUGAUUUAAAAAUUAGAGAGUUUAAUGGCUUUGAUAGGAGAAAACUGAAGAUUGACCAACAACAUUGAAGUUACUCCACAAUAUUAACUUAAAUGACAGAUUGAAAAGGAAGCCUAUACAGAAAGUAUUACGUUUGGCGCAAAUCCAAUACAACACAUUACUGAGUACCACUCAUGAUGUUAUAGGUAUGAUUGUCAUCAGCAAGGUCUAGGGAGUUUUUUUUAAAGAAAAAAAAAACGGAAUAGAGCUAAGCACAGGCAAAAUAGUCAUAGAGAAAUACCUGGUUCUGUCUGCUUUCCAAGGUCGAAUCUAUACUGCGUUGCUUACCAAUACGGCAUUGAAUGUUCUUGAGUGGCCUAGUUACAGUUUUCACUUAAGUCUGCUUGAAAAUCUAGGGCAAGACUUGAAAAUUGCUGUCUAGCAAUGAUCAACAACCAACUUCACAGAGCUUGAAGACCUUUAAAAAUAACAAUGGGCAAAUAUCGUGCAAUCCAGGUUAGUGGUUGACCGAUUAAUCAGAAUGGCCAAUUUCAAGAUUUCAUAACAAUUGGAAAUCAGUAUUUUUGGACACCGAUUUGGCCGAUUUAAAAAAAAAAAAAAUUACACCUUUUAUUUCAUCUUUAUUUAACUAGGCAAGUCAGUUAAGAACACAUUCUUAUUUUCAAUGACGGCCUAGGAACGGUGGGUUAACUGUCUCGUUCAGGGGCAGAACGACAGAUUUUUACCUUGUCAGCUCGGGGGAUUCAAUCUUGCAACCUUACAGUUAACUAGUCCAACGCUCUUACCACCUGAUUACAUUCCACUCCACGAGGAGCCUGCCUGUUACGCGAAUGCAGUAAGCCAAGGUAAGUUGCUAGCUAGCAUUAAACUUAUCUUUAAAAAAACAAUCAAUCAAUCAUAAUCCAGUGGUGGGCCGUCAGGGCCUGCAAGGCCUUCUCUGCUGGCCUAAACAUCAUCAGAAUAUAAUUUUUUUUAAAAUAUAUUUUCCCACAAAUAUGUAUUAAAUUAUUCCCCAGAGUAAGAGUUAUACUCUUCAUUUCAUAGCUUUCCUCUUGGUUGCACUGCUUCCAGCCCCAGGUUGAGAUUUGGAGGGCUGGUCUUUGUGUUAGAUCUUUUAUCCAAUCAUAUUCUGCCAUCAUGUGUUGCCAGGGGUCUAAAAUCUGCCCUCAGGCCUUCAGAAUCAACAGUGCGGGCGCUUGUAGCUUAUAGUGAAUGGAAAUGAAAAUUUAGUGUCAACCAAUCAGCUUUAGAGUUGGCUAUUGUACGCCUGCUGGCUGGCUCCAGUGUUACACAGGAGCCAGCUAGCAGGCGUAGUGCGUGCACGUCUUUUGAUUGGAUUACCAAUAUUGAGAGGCAGGUCCUAUGGAGAUCUAGGAAACUGAAUUUGAUAAACGAAUUAAUUCGCGUACUACUAAGCUGUUUUUUCAACCCACAAUGGAGGAAGGAGGAGAAGAUAUCGAUUUGAUUGAGGAUAUAAUUAUAACGCCAUUCUCAAGACUAACUUUUCAAGAAAAGUUAGACAUUGUAAGGAGAGGUCGCCCGACGCCACAAAGCCUGUCACAGGCGGGAAAGGGCUUCGUUCGCUCGCCACUUUCAAAGUUUCAACUACGAGUUUUGUCAAUGGCUCACAGGCUCCUUGGCUCCGAGAAGCACUGCAAACUGUACUGCUGGGAAUGCCUAUUAUUUGCAAGUGAUCGAUUUGGUGUUUGGAGCCACACUGGCUUUGCAAACUUGAGUUGUCUAACCAAGCCAUCAACGAGACACCAAAGUACGGCUGGGCACUAACAAGCAAUGGUGCUUUUGAAAACUUUUGGGGACACCGGAGUGGAUCUACAGCUCAAAGAACAAGCGCGCAGGGCAACGGAGCUGCACAAUGAAAAGGUGAAGGGAAAUAUUGAAAAGACUCAUUGAUUGUGUCAUGUUUCAAUUUGUCAAUUUCAAGGUGACGCAACGCCUGGUUAUACUGCGUUUCUGUCUAAAUGUAUAGUGUCUAGAGCCAUGGCAUCAUAAUGAUGGUAAUAAGAGGUGGAUUAAUUCGGGUGGGACUGUGUAGUACCUCACUGAAGGCCCAGGCCCCAGGCCCACGGCACGCCACUGUCAUAAUCACUAGUUAACUACACAUGGUUGAUGAUAUUACUAGUUUAUCUAGCGUGUCCUGCGUUGCAUAUAAUCGAUGCGGUGCGUAUCGUUGCUCCAAUGUGUACCUAACCAUAAACAUCAAUGCCUUUCUUAAAAUCGAAAACCUCCCUGUUCUUUGUGGUUGAAUCUGUGCUUGAAAUUCACUACUCGACUGAGGGACAUUUUUACUCUUUGGAACUUAUGAUAAACAUAAAAACAAAACAAAAAUGAAUAAGUCAAUUGGUGUGAAUACUUUCUAAGGCACAGUAUAUACAGUACAUAUAGCCUAGAAUAAGUGCAAUAUGAUAAGAAGUGCAAAUAUGCAAGUUGUUGUGCAAAAUCCAAGAUACAAAAUCAAAGACUGAUAAGGCAGCAAGGUUACAUCAUUCACCACAGCUACACUAAGUAUGUGGACACCCCUUCAAAUGAUUGGAUUCAGCUAUUUCAGCCAUACCUUUUGCUGACAGGUGUAUGAAACCGAGCAUGCAGUCAUGCAAUCUCCAUAGACAAAUAUUGGCAGUAGAAUGGCCUGUACUGAAGAGCUCAGUGAAUUUCAAUGUGGCACCGUCAUAUGACAACAAGUCUGUUUGUCAAAUUUCUGCUCUGCUAAAGCUGCCCCGGUCAACUGUAAGUGCUGUUAUUGUGAAGUGGAAACAUCUAGGAGCAACAACGGCUCAGCCACUGUGUGGUAGGCCACACAAGCUCACAGAACGUGACCUCCGAGUGCUGUAGCAUUUUCCAAUCGCUAGUCCUUGGUUGCAACACUCACUACCGAGUUCCAAACUGCCUCUGGAAGCAACGUCAGCAUAAGACUGUUCUUUGAGAGCUUCAUGAAAUGGGUUUCCAUGGCCGAGCAGCCGCACGCAAGCCUAAGAACACCAUGCGCAAUGCCAAACAUCGGCUAGAGCUGUGUAAAGCUCGCCGCCAUUGGACUUUGGAGCAGUGGAAACGCGUUCUCUGGACUGAUGAAUCACGCUUCACCAUCUGGCAGUCUGACAGAUAAAUCAAGGUUUAAUAAAGGUUAGAAUAAUGGUCUGGGACUGUUUUUCAUGGUUUGGGCUAGGCCCCUUAGUUCCAGUGAUGGAGAAGAACUUGACUGGCCUACACAGAGCCCUAACCUCAACCACAUCGAACACCUUUGGGAUGAAUUGGAACUCCGACUGUGAGCAAGGCCUAAUCACCCAGCAUCAGUACCGAACCUCACUAAUGCUCUUGUGGCUGAAUGGAAAUCCCCUCAGCAAUAUUCCACCUUCUAGUGGAAAGCCUUCCCAGAAGAGUGGAGCCUGUUAGAGCAGCAAAGGGGGGACCAACUCCAUAUUAAUGCCCAUAAUUUUGGAAUGAGAUGUUCGACGAGCAGGUGUCCACAUACCUUGUGUUAACAUAAUCUAUGAGCUGCUUUUGGUUGGAAUUUGUGGAGGGUGAUGGCUAUUAGGUAUGUUGUUCAGGCUUCUGAGAAAUUGUAAUGAUCUUGCUCUUGUUGAAGAUAAGUGAAAUAACACGCAUAUGACAUAUUACAUUGUGUACUAAUGUUGCAUUUUUGUGUUUUCAAUAGAUUUGUUUAGAUGUGUUUCAGACAAAGUGACAGCACAUUGUAAUAAAAGGAUUUCACUUGACAAAAAGUACACGUUGAAGAUUGGGCACCAAGACGACACUGUUUACAAAGGAAACAAGAAAGAAAUAGAAGAGUUGAGCAAAUUCUACCUUAAAGAGGAAGUGAAGAUGGUAGUGAUUGGUGUAAUAGAUGGUUUUGAUGAGUGCGAGGCAGAGAGUGGGCAACUGUUGAUUUUGGUAGGUGAGGACUGGAAGGUGUAUGCUUACGAGACAGAGUGUCUUCAUCUGGUUGCAAAGAGUAUGGAAAAUCUGUUUGAAUCAGGGCUGAAUUACCCAGGAAUCAAAACCUUCUACCGUGGCCAGUGUUUUGCAGACAUGGUAAGAUCAAAACUGAUUAGCGAUGUAUGUGUCUACCUUAUAAUUAAGUUUCAAGAGGGAUGUUUUCAGACAAUUAUUUGAAAGUAGAGGUUUAGUGGCUAAACCACAAAGGACAGGCCACUAAUGUAACAACUAUUUAAAUGCACUUUUUCAGACACCAGAAGAAUGGUCUGAUGUUGAACGUGACAGUGAUGAGAUGCAGAAAAAAGAGGAUGCACAUAAGUGUUUCCUGAAGUCAACAGAAGAAGAAUUUCUGAAAAACCUUGAAAUCAUCCAACGCAGAUCAUGCAGGAAAAAAAAGAUGCCAGAGAAGCAGUGUGAAAGAGCUACAGUAGAACACUCCAAAAAGAAGCUGCGUUCUAAUUGUGAUCAACUGUGUUUAUCCUCUUUGAUAUAAGAUAGGUGUUCCCUAUGACACUAAUGAUGUUGAGUAACCAAAAUGUUUAUCUAUUGCACUCUUCAUGCACCUUUUGCAUAUAUUUAUAUUGCAAAUUAUAUAUAAUGCUCAUCAGUAUGCUGGUAUCUAUUUGCAUUGACCCCUUUGUUCAUGCUGCUGUUACUUAAUGUUUAUAAUUAAUGCAUAGUCACUUUACCCCUACCUACAGGCACAUAUUACCUCAAUUACCUAAACUAACUUAUAAUGUUACUUAAUUUUUUUAGCAAAUAUUUUAUUUUACUCUGCAUUGUUGGUUAAGGGCUACACCUGUUGUAUUUGGCACAUGUGACAAAUAACAUCUGAUUUGACUGAAGCAGGUUUUCCUGUAGGAUUUUGUCUGUUUCCUGUUUCUUUUUAUACUGAAAAACUCCCCAGUAUUUUCCCAUGUCAAGCAUACCCAUACCAUAAUGCAGCCACCAUGUUUGAAAUUAAGGAGGCAGUUACUCAGUGAUGUGUUGUGUUGGAUUUGCCCAAAUAAUACAGUGCAUUAUGAAAGUAUUCAGGCCCCUUGACUUUUGUCACAUUUUUUUACGUUACAGCAUUAUUCUAAAAUGGAUUAAAUAAAACAAUGUCCUCAUCAAUCUACACACAAUACCAUUUAAUGACAAAGCAAAAACAGGUUAAGAAAUUUUAGCAAAUGUAAUACAAAUAAAAACAGAAACAUCUUAUUUACAUAUGUUGUAUUCAGACCCUUUGUUAUGAGACUCGAAAUUGAGCUCAAGUGCAUCCUGUUUCGAAAGCUUGAUUGGAGUCCACCUGUGGUAAAUUCAAUUGAUUGGACAUGAUUUGGAAAGGCACACAGCUGUCUAUAUAAGGUCCCAAAGUUGACAGUGCAUGUCAGAGCAAAAACCAAGCCAUGAGGUCGAAAGAAUUGUCCGUAGAGCGAGGCACAGGUCUGGGGAAGUGUACCAAAAAAUAUCUGCAGCAUUGAUGGUCCCCAAGAACACAGUGGCCACCAUCAGAAGUUUGGAACCACCAAGACUCUACCUAGAGCUGGCCACCCGGCCAAACUGAGCAACCGAGGGAGAAGGGCCUUGGUCAGGGAGGUAACGAAGAACCCGAUGGUCACUCUGAUAGAGCUCCAGAGUUCCUCUGUGGAGAUGGGAGAACCAGAAGGACAACCAUCUCUGCAGCACUCUACCAAUCAGGCCUUUAUGGUAGAGUGGCCAGACAGAAGCUACUCCUCAGUAAAAGGCACAUGACAGCCCGCUUAGAGUUUGCCAAAAGUCACCUAAAGGACUCUCAGACGAUGAGAAACAAGACUCUCUGGUCUAAAUGCCAGGCUUCAUGUCUGGAGGAAACCUGGCACCAUCCCUAUGGUGAAGCAUGAUGAGCGAGGCACAGGUCUGCUGUGGGGAUGUUUUUCAGCGGCAGCGACUGGGAGACUAGUCCGGAUUGAGGGAAAGAUGAAGGGAGCAAAGUACAGAGAGAUCAUUGGUGAAAACCUGCUCUAGAGCGCUCAGGACCUCAGACUGGAGCAAAUGUUCACCUUCCAACAGGAUAACGACCCUAAGCACACAGCCAAGACAACAAAGGAGUGGCUUCGGGACAGGCCUCUGAAUGUCCUUGAACCCGAUCUAUGGAGAGACCCGAAAAUAGCUGUGCAGCAAAGCUCCCCAUCCAUCCUGACAGAACUUGAGAGGAUCUGCAAAGAUGAAUUGGAGAAACGGCCAAACCUGUUUUCGCUUUAUCAUUAUGGGGUAUUGUGUGUAGGUUGAUGAGGGGGUAAAAAUGUUUUAAUCCAUUUUACAAUAAGGCUGUAACAUAACAAUAUGGAAAAGGUCAAUGGGUCUGAAUGCACUGUAAGGCUUUGCAUUUAGCCCAAAAAGUCUAUUCCUUUGCUGUGUUUUUUUGUUGUUGAGUACCGUAAUUGCUGGACUAUUAAGCGCACCUGAAUAUAAGCCGCACCCACUGAAUUUAAUUUUUUUAUUUAUUUUGUACAUAAAUAAGCCGCACGUGUCUAUAAGCCACAGGUGCCUACCGGUACAUUGAAACAAAUGAACUUUACACAGCCUUUAAACGAAACACGGCUUGUAACAAAAAUAAAUAGGCUUUAACGAAACACGGCUUGUAACAAAAAUAAAUAGGCUUUAACGAAACAGGCUUGUAACAUUUUCUUUUUUUAAAUAGCAGUAAACAAUAGCCUACCAAGAAAGUCCUUGGUCACUAUCUUCCUCCUGUGCACUGAAACCACUGAAGUCAUCUCCUUUGGUGUCGGAGUUGAAUAGCCUCAGAAUUGCUUCAUCCGAUGUUGGAUCGUUUUCAUUGUGCUCUCCUCACUUUCAUCCGGAGGCAAACUCAUCCAAGCCUCAUUUUCUAAUUCGGGCCAUCUGCUUUUCUUUCCUCUGAAAAAUGUUGUUGUCUUUUUGCACUAAGUCAGUUUCUCACGCUGCUGUUUCCAACGUCUUAUCAUCGACUCAUUAAGGCUCCCGUGCAGCAGCACUAUUUCCUUUUCCAACAGCCAGAUCGAUCGCCUUCAAAUUGAAAGCUGCAUCAUAUGCAUUUCUCCGUGUCUUUGCCAUGAUGAGGGUGACAAAAUGACUACCGUAAUCAGAAUGAUGGAAGUUUGAGCGCCCUCGAUUUACAUCACAUUAUGUGACGGUGCUCAGUUUUUUGGCGGCAUGAAUUUGUGAAAGCGGGAAAAAUCCAUAAAUUAGCCGCGUCAUUGUAUAAAGCGCAAGGUUCAUAGCGUGGGAAAAAAGUAGCGGCUUAUAGUCCGGAAAUUACGGUAUUACUUUAGGGCCUUGUUGCAUGUUUUGGAAUAUUUAUAUUCUGUAUAUUUGUAUUAUUUUCACUGUCAUUUAGUUUAUUAUUGAGAGUCACUACAAUGUUGUUGGUCCAUCCUCAGUUUUCUUCCAUCACAGCCAUUAAACUAUGUAGCUGUUGUCACCAAUGGCCUCAUGGUAACAUCCCUGAGCAGUUUCAUUCCUGUCCUGCAGCUCAGUUCAGCAGGAUGACUAUCUUUGAUGUGUCUGGGUGGUUUAAUAUAUAAUCUACAGUAUAAUUAUUAACUAUACCAUGCUUAAAGAGAUAUUCAAUGUCUGAUUUGAUAUUGUUACCCAUCUACUAAUCACUGACCUUCUUUAUGAAGCUUUUGAAAAAGCUCCCUGGUCUUUGUAGUAUAAUCUGUGCUUGAAAUUCAAUACUUGACAUGCAGAGAACCUUAAUAAAAAGGUUCCUGGAGGCACAUUCAGGGUUUCCCCUGGUGUAGCAAUGGAAGGAACCCCUAAAGGAUCCUCCAGGAAUCUUUUCUUUGUAAAGUGCUCUUUGUAAAGCAGGUUUUUGUGUAUGUAAGGUGCUAUACAAAUAAGUAUUUCUGUUAACUUUAAAAUAUCUAUUUUUUAUCACAUUUGAUGAACCUCUCCCACCCCUGAUCUCAAGUAAACCCCUGGUGGGAAUCGAAUAGUGUACCAUUUCGGUUAGCUGGAACUUAAAGUUCACUAAAGUGCAUAUGGCAGAAAAGUAAAAAAAUCUGUCAUACUCAAUUAUGACGGACUGUUAGAUUAAAAAGUCAUUAUAUUAUAAUAACACUAACAAUGUUUGGAGAUUUGAAUUAUGUAUUACACCACUGUCGCAUUUAGUUUUUUUGCACUGAGAGCCCUUAUCAUUUUCUCUCCUUGAUGUCAGAAAUACUGCUUGUAUUCUUACUUCCCCUCUAGUGAGGGACUAAAAUUCAUACCUGCGAAACGUGGGGAGUGGAAUCUCUGGCCAUGUGGGUGGGGCUUCAGCUAAGGAAAUUCAGCUCGUGCAAUAUGUUGCCAACCUUGUGGACAACCACUCCUACAUGGUGUCAUGUGAUUAUUAUACACUUGACAGUUCACAUCAACUUUGUGGCAGGCUACACACGUCAAUCCUCGCAGAGAACAUGGCUGAUACAGUAAGAAUCUUAUUUAUCUGGUUGAGUUGUGAUAAUUAGAAGUUUAAUUUAAUGUAAAUUACAAUUUGUUGUAAUAAAGGUCAUCAUCUUUUCUGUUGCACUUGCAGAGGUUUUUGGAAAGGUAAGCUGCUUAAAGUUUUCACACGAUAUAUGUAUAAUUUUGAAAAUGUACAGAUGACAUUGUAAAAUGUUAUAUUAGCAUUGAACAACUAUCUUUUAAUAUGAUCAAAUGAAAAUAACCAGUUAUCUGAAAAGUUGUCAUUAGCUGUUAGACAGAAGCAUCUUGUUACAAAAAUCAAACAGGCUAAUAAGUUCAUGAUCUUGUAACUUGUUUAAUUAAGAGAAAUCAUUGAAUUAAGAGAUUUUCCCACAGAGUAAUGCUUUCAUAAAAUGACAAAGUGGUCGAAUCAAGAAUGAUCAGAUGGGAAUUUUCUGAAUAUGAUGUUGACUAUCGCAGGGCAGAAGAAUUUCAAAGUGAGGACGGUUUCCAAGGAAAUGCAGCAAAAAUAAUUUGCAAAGUGGUGGAAUUUUGUGCAAAAAACAGAAAUUUGCACAUCAUAACAUUAGCAGAAGAGGUAUGUAUUGCAUGUUAAUUGUGAUCGAAUUUCUCUAUCUACUUCCCCAAAGUCAGAUGAACAAGUGGGUAACAAUAAAUUGUAUGUAUCUAUGUGCAGAUUGAAGGAAGUCACUAACUAGCGUAAGCACAAUUGUUAACUAGUGUUAGCGCAAUGACUGGUAGUCUAUGGGAACAGAGAUACACAAAAAUGGUAUUCACGAGUUCAUCAGACUCUGGGGAAGUAGAUAAAUGGCCUCAUUGCCAAAAUGACCACUAUCCCUUUUACGCUUUAAAAGUACGGACUCAGACCUUCAUAAUGGAUAUCAUACACUGUAGUUGGAGGAAACAUGGGAUAUUAUGUUGCUUUGAAAAUAAAUAAAGUUGUUAUCCCACACUAAAGGAAACAAGUAGUAAAAAUGCUCUUGAAAGGUUUUCACACUUGUUCGAGAGCUCUUGUUUGUGUACGCCUAUUCAGUGUCAUUCACACCCUCCUAAGCCGCAGCCCCACCCAUGUCUUUAAGAAUUCAAAUGUUAAUGCAUGUGAGUCAACAGUAAUAGCUUUUUGCUAAAAAGUUAUUUUUGUCAAUUUGAAUGAAAAACUAUUACAGUAAGGUACUUAACUGUUACACAGACAUGAUUUUGUAUUGAUAUAAAAACAGCUGCAAUGGGCCUUUAACACAGCAGUGUCCACGAAAACAUUUGGGGUUAUAAUUAAUUAAUUAAUUAUUAAUUAACUUUGUGUUUUCAAGAUGCUUCAUAGCAUCUUUUUCCUAGGUAACAUACAUGUACGAAAGUGCUCUCCGGAAAUGAUCUUGUCAAGCGGGAUGCUGGAGAGAGUGAGGGAAGUGUUUCCGAGACCACUGGCGAGUUACAGCACGGAACUGCCUCGUCGGACACCCUUCUCCUGUCUACUAGAUAUGGUUGUCACCCUAAGGACAGAAGAUGACACAGAAGAUGAUAUCAAAAACCAUCUGUCCAAUCUCAUCACAAGAUUGGGUUUGGUUGGUGAUCACAACUUGAUCGCGGCAACAAUAUGCGUCUCCUACUACACUGAUGACCAACAUAAACCGAUGUUUCAUUACUAUGGGGCAUCUUUGUCCAGCACUGGGUACAAGGAACGAAAGAUCCUGAUUGCCUCAUCUUGUGUACACACAUGGCACCAUUAUGUGUCACUUGCUGUUAUGGAAAAAACACCUGUAACAUUUAUAAGGCCAGUGAGAUGCAGAGCUUUUAGUGUGGAUAGCAUCCAUACAGAAAAGCCACCUUGUAAACCCUGCCGUGAGCUCUUCAAGCUCGAGCACGCAGAUCCUCCGACUGGCAACAACAUCUAUGGUAAUUGUGCUGAGGUGGAGAGCCUGAGCAAAUUACUCGGGAAUGAAGACGAACGGCUCAGAAGGGUAAGAGAUCGUACGGGAAUAAAAAAAAAGGCAAUAAAAACCUUGUCAAACAGAUUGAAAGAGUUUGGUCUUGUGUCCUAUAAUGCCGACAAAGUGUUUCGGCCUCCACCUACCAGGAGGAUAUAAUAAGGCAUUUUGCUAUUUUUCACAAAUAUAACAUUUGAUGUAUCCUAUUUAAAUUGUUUGCCUUACAAGUUAAAUUAAGUAUACCCCUAUAUGUGUAUACCCCUAUUGCUUUGAAAGGUUUUCUUUUGUAUACCUCUUUAUAAGUCACAUUAAAAUGUGUUUUUCCUCAUUUUCACUAUUUGUUUUCAUUCUAGUUGACUCCGUAAACAUAAUAUAAGAAUGUAAAACAUUGUUAGUCUGGUCUGGGUCUCUGUCUACAAAAAAUAUCAGAUUCAAAUGAUAGUUUUUCUUUGCAAUGAUUGUAUUAUAAUUUUUUUUACUGUAAGAAAUGUUUGCCAUCAAUCCCAUAGUCAGCACUACUGGCUAAUUAAAGUGCUGUAGAUCAAAGAUGCACACUUUAAUAUUUGUAUGUAUUACUCUGUAUCUUGCUUGUCAUUUUACAUUGUUCAGUAAGUGCUCAUUUCAGAAGUGCUUUUGGCUACUAUGUUUUCUA